Long non-coding RNA from Coffea eugenioides, 508 nucleotides. RefSeq lists it as uncharacterized. The record is from RefSeq and is a predicted model, not a curated record. The transcript has 3 exons. NCBI's taxonomy places the organism in Eukaryota, Viridiplantae, Streptophyta, Magnoliopsida, Gentianales, Rubiaceae.
UCUUUGCUAAUUGGUAUCCUCUCUUUUGCUAUCAUAAACUUCCCAGCGAGCCCUGCAAUGGAGUAAAAAUUGUAGCAUUCCACCUAAGCAUUUUCUUCUGGGGGAUAGAUCUUGAAGAUUAGCUUCAAGAUAUAAAGAUGGGUUAUUUAGUUGUGUACUACGUGGGAUUGUGUAUAUGGUUGUCUUUGUUUAGUUAUAGCUCCAUUUUCGUGUACUCUGAGAUUGUAAAAGACACUGGAACAUCCCAAGGCUUUGUAUUUGUAGAUGGGAUUAGUGCCAUUGGAGAAAUAGAUGACGAUUUCAUUUGUGCCACCUUGGAUUGGUAGCCACCUGAGAAAUGUGACUAUGGAACCUGUAGCUGGGACCAUGCUUCCCUUCUCAUUCUGGAUCUUAACAACAUAAUUUUAUUAAAUGCAGUAAAAGCUUUUUCGCCAUUAAAGAUUAGACUUGGGGGCACCCUGCAAGAUAAUGUCAUAUAUCAAACUCAGAGCAAUCAAUGCUGCCAUUC